GCGCCUACGGGAGGCAGCAGUCGGGAAUAUUGCGCAAUGGAGGCAACUCUGACGCAGUGACGCCGCGUAUAGGAAGAAGGUUUUCGGAUUGUAAACUAUUGUCCACAGGGAAGAAAAAGACUGUACCUGUGAAGAAAGCUCCGGCUAACUACGUGCCAGCAGCCGCGGUAAUACGUAGGGAGCAAGCGUUAUCCGGAUUUAUUGGGUGUAAAGGGUGCGUAGACGGGAUAACAAGUUAGUUGUGAAAGUUUGCGGCUCAACCGUAAAAUUGCAGUUGAAACUGGCAGUCUUGAGUACAGUAGAGG
This 305-nucleotide ribosomal RNA is filed under the name uncultured bacterium. RNAcentral's name for it is "bacterial SSU rRNA". It matches the Rfam family "Bacterial small subunit ribosomal RNA", at positions 335 to 657 of the family's 1533-position model. The record is from RNAcentral.